AUAAGAACUAUGAAGAGGAUAGUAACUUUUAUUGGUCGUUCUAGCGAGUUAGGGAUGGUGUGAGCCUAAUACAGAUAUAAAAGUGAAUAACACCUUGGAGUUUCUUACCGAAAUUAGAUAUCUAAGAGUAGGAUAAGACGGUUUCCUACCGUUAAAAAGGUUCCUAAAGUGGUCACUUUUUGACAACUAGGGUGGUACCGCGGAUUUUACAGCCAUUCGUCCCUAUC
This 227-nucleotide non-coding RNA is filed under the name Haloplasma contractile. RNAcentral describes it as "T-box sequence". It matches the Rfam family "T-box leader". Rfam says of the family: Uncharged tRNA acts as the effector for transcription antitermination of genes in the T-box leader family. T-boxes are found upstream of many aminoacyl-tRNA synthetase genes and some amino acid biosynthetic genes usually in Gram-positive bacteria. Lineage: Bacteria; Bacillati; Mycoplasmatota; Mollicutes; Haloplasmatales; Haloplasmataceae. The record is from RNAcentral.